CCCUUCGCCAUCUUGGAGCGCAUCGGGCAGGUGGCCUAUCGCCUUCAGCUUCCGGCCAGCGCUCGCAUCCACGAUGUGUUUCAUGUGGGGCUGCUCAAGCCUUUUUGUGGAGAGCCACCGGCGGCUCCACCCGCGCUUCCUCCGACCGCCAACGGACGUCUUCUUCCGGAGCCAGAGAAGGUGUUGAAGGCGCAACUUCGUCGCGGGGUGUGGUUCGUCUUGAUCCAGUGGGCGGGUCUUCCGGUGGAGGAGGCUACUUGGGAGCCACGUGAUGAUUUCCGCCACCACUAUCCAGACUUUCAGCUCGAGGACGAGCUGUUUGUGCAGGCGGGGAGAGAUGUU
Molecule: ribosomal RNA, 342 nt
Filed under: Triticum aestivum (bread wheat)
Lineage: Eukaryota; Viridiplantae; Streptophyta; Magnoliopsida; Poales; Poaceae
Description: partial small subunit ribosomal RNA
Source: RNAcentral